CACGCCUCUAAGUGUGUGGGCUAUUAUAUGUAGUGUUUUCGGUUCACGAACGGCCCGCCAAAGUGCCGUUCGUGAAACGAAAGGAAAACCCAAUACAAAUAGCUAUCUGCAUUCGGCGGAUAGCAAACACAGGCAAUUCAAGGUAUUACAGCCAGCAUACAUUGUACAUAGUUGAACACAUAUCCCCACCGACAUACAGGCAACCCUUAAAGGUACAGUCUCUUGAUAUAGUCCAAGUGGCUAGGUUUGCCACAU
Non-coding RNA from Pelobates cultripes (western spadefoot toad), 255 nucleotides. Lineage: Eukaryota; Metazoa; Chordata; Amphibia; Anura; Pelobatidae. The record is from the annotation of a GenBank genome assembly.